Molecule: long non-coding RNA, 469 nt
Filed under: Solanum tuberosum (potato)
Lineage: Eukaryota; Viridiplantae; Streptophyta; Magnoliopsida; Solanales; Solanaceae
Description: long non-coding RNA (STUB_LNC007426)
Source: RNAcentral
ACAUAUACUUUACCUUCUAAUAUAUAAUAAAAUAAUAGAAUAUAUAUUUUUUCUUACUGAAUAAGAGCCUAAAUAAAUACCAAUUCAUUUCAUCAAUAGAGCUACGUUUUCUCUACUGUCAAAUACAUCCAAAAAUCUCCUUUCCCCAUCGAUAAGAAUAGUGAAAUGACUUUUAUGCUUAUGAACAAUUUGAUCAAUCAUUCAUGAUCCUUUUCCAACUCUUCCAUCACCCCUACUUCUUCCAGUUCCUGCAUCAAUCACCAUUAAUUCAUAGUUCUUGCAACAAUCAUCAUUAAUCCAUUCUUAGUAUUUUCUCUUAUGUUGUAGCAAUACUACUUUUGUUUACUGUCGAAACAAUGUUGUGUGUAAUUUUAUAAUUCUUAUUAACUCUAAAAGUAGUGUAAAAGGCACCUUAGGUCCUAAGAACAAGCCAAAUAGGACAUCAUUGAACUUCUCUGAAUGAUGAAGC